UCGUACAAAAUGUGAGAGGCACGCAAGGGUUGUCGCUGACUUUUAACACAAAAGUCGUGCACGCCGGAGUGUGUCCUCUCGCAUAAAAUCCAUCUCACCCUUUUGUGCACCACCGCGUGGGCACCCUUCAGGAUCGAGCCGAUCCGGGAGGGGGCUUGCGUUUUCACACAAACCCCCCCUUUUAAAAGUGUAGAAUGACCCCAUUUUUGCGAUAACACGCAAUCAAUA
Molecule: unclassified non-coding RNA, 228 nt
Filed under: uncultured Lactarius
Lineage: Eukaryota; Fungi; Basidiomycota; Agaricomycetes; Russulales; Russulaceae
Description: sequence contains ITS1
Source: RNAcentral